This 294-nucleotide ribosomal RNA is filed under the name uncultured Desulfobulbus sp. RNAcentral's name for it is "partial 16S ribosomal RNA". It matches the Rfam family "Bacterial small subunit ribosomal RNA", at positions 1089 to 1382 of the family's 1533-position model. Lineage: Bacteria; Pseudomonadati; Thermodesulfobacteriota; Desulfobulbia; Desulfobulbales; Desulfobulbaceae. The record is from RNAcentral.
GCAACGAGCGCAACCCUUGCCUUUAGUUGUCCAGCAGUUCGGCUGGGCACUCUAAAGGGACUGCCGGUGUUAAACCGGAGGAAGGUGGGGAUGACGUCAAGUCCUCAUGGCCUUUAUGACCAGGGCUACACACGUACUACAAUGGCCGAUACAAAGGGCAGCGACACUGCGAGGUGAAGCCAAUCCCGUAAAAUCGGUCUCAGUCCGGAUUGGAGUCUGCAACUCGACUCCAUGAAGUUGGAAUCGCUAGUAAUCGUGGAUCAGCAUGCCACGGUGAAUACGUUCCCGGGCCUU